GAUUAACGCUGGCGGCGUGCCUAACACAUGCAAGUCGAACGAGGUAGCAAUACCUAGUGGCAGACGGGUGAGUAACGCGUGGUCAACCUACCCUAGAGUGGGGGAUAACUAGCCGAAAGGUUAGCUAAUACCGCAUGAAACGUGCCGGGACAUCCCGGAACGUUAAAAGGAGCAAUCCGCUCAAGGACGGGACCGCGUCCGAUUAGCUAGUUGGUGAGGUAAUGGCUUACCAAGGCUCCGAUCGGUAGCUGGUUUGAGAGAGCGACCAGCCACACUGGGACUGAGAAACGGCCCAGACUCCUACGGGAGGCAGCAGUGAGGAAUUUUCCGCAAUGGGCGAAAGCCUGACGGAGCGACGCCGCGUGUGGGAAGAAGGCCUUCGGGUCGUAACC
This 392-nucleotide ribosomal RNA is filed under the name uncultured bacterium. RNAcentral describes it as "bacterial SSU rRNA". It matches the Rfam family "Bacterial small subunit ribosomal RNA", at positions 28 to 430 of the family's 1533-position model. The record is from RNAcentral.